RNAcentral lists this transfer RNA (74 nucleotides) under Otolemur garnettii (small-eared galago). It matches the Rfam family "tRNA". Rfam says of the family: Transfer RNA (tRNA) molecules are approximately 80 nucleotides in length. Their secondary structure includes four short double-helical elements and three loops (D, anti-codon, and T loops). Lineage: Eukaryota; Metazoa; Chordata; Mammalia; Primates; Galagidae. The record is from Rfam by way of RNAcentral.
GUGCCUGUGGCUCAAAGGAGUAGGGUGCCAGCCUCAUAUGCAGGAGAUGGCUGGUUCAAACCCAGCCCCGGACA